GGAAGCUUGAGAAUUUACAAGCGGGAAGUCCAAGAGAAGGUUCUUGAUAUUGUUGGCAUUUCCCGAGAGCAGGCUGAAGCAAAAUUUGGCUAUCUUUUGGAGGCUCUGGAUAUGGGUGCUCCUCCACACGGAGGAAUUGCUUAUGGGUUGGAUAGAUUGGUGAUGCUCUUGGCAGGCUCUCAGUCCAUCAGGGAUGUUAUAGCUUUUCCAAAGACAACAACUGCUCAAUGUGCCCUUACUCAUUCACCAUCAGAGGUUGAUCCACAACAGCUUAAAGAUCUUUCGUUGCAGAAGAUAUAGUUUCUUGAUUGAUUUUGGGAAGUAUUAUGUACUGGAGAAGUUGAGAAAAGCACACAAAGGGUAACGGUAGAUUAUCAUCGUGGGAUUGUUUUCCAAGGACAUUGUUAUUUUGACAUAUUGAUAUUGUAGCACCAAUAUAAUUAGGUUCCAGUUUUGCCUUGCUGAGAGUGAAGAGGGGUACUUUAACUUGUGAAAUUAUGAAUGCUUUAAGUUUAUGAACAUACUGAUGAGGGAAAGGAUUCGACCUACAUUCAUUUCAGUCAUCUGUUUUUU
This 573-nucleotide unclassified non-coding RNA is filed under the name Hevea brasiliensis (rubber tree). Lineage: Eukaryota; Viridiplantae; Streptophyta; Magnoliopsida; Malpighiales; Euphorbiaceae. The record is from RNAcentral.